Callithrix jacchus (white-tufted-ear marmoset) is the source of this 4458-nucleotide non-coding RNA. Lineage: Eukaryota; Metazoa; Chordata; Mammalia; Primates; Cebidae. The record is from RefSeq and is a predicted model, not a curated record.
UUAUUUUCAAUUUUUAUCAUUUUUUCAUGUUAGUGGUGUAAAGCUAACAUUUUGCUUUCACAUCUUUUUACUGUCAGUGUUCCUAAGCAGUGCACCUUAAAUUAGUUCAUCUCUAAUUUAUCAUGCUUCUAUUUGAGUUGUCUGGAUUUCAUAUUUAGGAAGAAUAAAAUGAAUAUUUAAUUUUAACUGUAAAGGAGCAUCUUUGUUAUUAUUUCUGUUUGGAUUAUCUUGUUUAUUUUUGGUUGAUAGAUUAGUAGUUGGCAUGUUUGCUCCAAUAUGUUGAAGUGGUAGGUUUAGUUCAGUGCAUAGAAUUUGUGACUAUUAAAAGGAAAAUCAUACAGCCUGGCUGCAAAGGUCGUUCAUAUCAGUAGAUAUUAUAACUUAAUAAAGAAAACUAAAGCAUAUGUGUGGUCACAACCAAUCCUUGUCAUUAUGCCAUGAAAGCUUUGGGAUUUGUGAUCAAAGCAACAGGCUUAUCCUGAACUGAGGUAUAACCUCUGGUUGAACCUUUCAAGUUUUUAUUUUCGGAGAUGAUGCUCUAAAUGUUGGCCAUGUUACCUGCCUCUAAGACCUAUCUACCUAAUUAAGUGAUAGAGAUUAAAAUUAUUGUGAGCAAGCCAGAAGAAAAUGUAUACUGUAAAUGUAUCUGUCUUCUGUCAGUGUUGUUUACUUAUCAUUUUCCACUGAUGCUUUAAAGGAUUGCUGAACAUGUGUUUUUUAUCCAGAGCUGACUGCACUGUUCUGAUGAAUAUAAAACAUACUUCACUUUGUAAAUGCGCAUUAAAAGUAUUAGAAAGGCAUAAUCUUUGACUCUGUUACUACAUUUCAUCUGUCAAAAGAGAUAAUUUUGAACUGUAAUAUUUGGUAUUGUAUCAAGACAUGGUACUUAGAAAAAUGCUUUUAGGAUUAAAAUGGAAUUCUACUGUAAAACUUAAAUGUCAUUGUCAUCGAUAGUAAGAUUUGUCUGUAUAUAUGCUUAUUUAUUUUGUUACAUGUUGGUAUAUCUCAGUUGAGUUCAGCAUGUUUAUUUCAUAUUAAGAGAGUAUUGAACUCUUAUCGCUGACAUGCAGAUUUUCUUGUGAUGAGACUACAAUAGAGUUUAAAUACAGCAUGUCCUCAAAUAAUGUUAUUUCAUUCAAUGUUAUGUUAUAAUGCUGAUAAAAAAUAACAUCAAUUCAUGGCCAGGGCCACUGUCUGUUGAGUGUUCACAGGUUCUCCCCAUGUCUGUGUGGGUUUUUUCCAGGUACUCUGGUUUCCUUUCACAUCCCAAAGAUGUGCACAUGUGGUGAAUUGGUGUGUCUACAUGGUUCCCAUCUGAGUGAGUGUGUGCGUUUGUGUGUGUGAGUGCUCCUUGCAAUGAGAUGGUACCUGGUGUCCUGUCCAGGGUGGGUUCCUGCCUUGUGCCCUGAGUUGCCAGGGUAGGUAUAGGGCACCUGCAAUCCUGAAGUGGCAUAAUUAAGUAAAUAAUUAUCUUACUUGUUUUUAUUAAUCUUUCUUAGAUGUAUGUAUAGCUCACAUUUAUUUCAAUAUUUAAUAUUAGAAGAGUUUUGGGUAUCUAUUUAGAAGUUUGGUGAUGUUUUUGUGGCCAUUGAAAUAUGCCGUAGGAACCUAACUCAUUUAUAUUAAUUAGCUGGUGGUAAAACUGGUUUUGUUAUAUGUCAUUUUAUGAAAUUUUGCAGUUUCCAAGAACCCAUCGAUGACAGUGAGGAUUUCCGUGUAUAUGCUCAUUCUCUUACUAAUUUAAUUGUGCUAAUUUGAUAUUCUUCAUACUGUAUGUAAAAUCUUCAUAAUCUCUCUCCUCAGUAUUAGUUAUUUAGAAAUGCUUGUCAUAUUUUAAAUUCACAUAUAAAGUCCUCAAUCUCAUGGAUCCUUCCAUUUAGAGGGUGAUACAAACAAGCAGUUAUAAUACAGAUUGAUGAGUUCUGUGUUAGGGAAAUAUAAUGGAUUACGAUCUUUUCCCUAAAGCUUUGGCCACCCCAACUUUUAGACAUAAUAUUCUCAUUUGAACUUCUGGAAUGCUAGUUGUUUUCACAACCUAUUUUCUCUUAAAAAUAUAUCAUUUCACUCUUACUGAUUUAGAUCGUAUUCUGUAGGGGGAAGACACUCAUGUUUAUGUAUCCCAGACCCUAACACAGUUCUCUCUAAAGAAUAAGAACUAACUUACAGGGGCAUUCCCUAAGGGGAUGGAGCCCGUGAGGGCCAUGACACUGAGAAAUCUCCCCUCAGAGCUGGAGUGGCUGUGUUGGCUGUGCAGCGUGCUUGGUCGGGCCAAGGGGCCUCCCACUGGGAUCUGGGAUGUCAGAAAGGCCAUUGGUGAAGAAAUUUCACCAUUUGGUCUCCCCCUUUGUGGGCCAGUGGGUGGUCAAGAAUAAGAAGCUACAGCCCACCAGCCUCCAGUGUCUGUGGCUCUAGGACACCCAGGUCUGUAGAAAUAAAUUAUUCCUUAGAUUUGAUCCAGAUGAAGAAAUGGGGCUUGCUGGUAACAGCCCAUCGCCAGAGACUCCACAAAAAGAAGCGCAGAAGGAAGGGACUGUGGACCCAAAGCAGGCCCAGGAGUGCAGCAGGCAGAAGACCCUAUGGAUCCUCACCAGAGCUUGUCCUCCAGGAAGAGGAUGAUUCUGAGUGUUUGGAGGGAGACACCCUGCAGGAGAUGCUGGGAGGUGGCUGUCAGCUUCUGUUUGUUGGGCAGUGUUUGGGUGAACAAGUUCUCCAGAGCCAAGAGAGCCAACAAGAGGGGGGGACUAGAGGGAUCCUGCCCCGAGGUGGGUCCUGCACUUUCGUGGUGGUGGCUUCCUGGCAUUUUAAAAUUGUCUGAUGUCUUGGAGCUCUUUCCCAGCGAUCACACCCACCUGUGACAUCCUGUCUGAGAAGUUCCAUGGAAGGUAAACCUUGGAAGCUCUAGGCCAGGCUCAGCCUGUCUGCUUUACACUGUUGGACCAGAGAUCCUUUUCAGGGCUAGGGAACAUCAUCAAGAAUAAAGUCUUGUAUGGAGCCGGGAUCCAUCCAUCCCCUUUCUUUCGGUUUAGUCCUGAGUUCCUUGCUGGGGAGGCUCUGGUGGAUCACGUGGUAGAGUUCAGUACUGCCUUGCUGCAGGGCAAGUUCUGGGCAAACCACAGCACAGACAUGUCUACCAGAAAGAACAGUGGCCUCCUGGCUACCAGGUCAUGAAGGAGGUGUUUGGGCCCCCAAGUGGGUUGUAGAGGCUCACCUGGUAGUGCCCACAGUGCCAGCCCCAGUUGUUGGGAAGAGCGGGAGCAGCAUCAAUUCUCCUAAGGAACUCGGGAUGGAACCUUGCCCCUUGGGGAACCUGAUGUCUAAGUGUCCAGAAAGGAGGAUGUGGGCAGGGACAGGGUGCAGAAGGUGGUGUGGGUCAGGGUGCUGGUACUACAAUAUUCAUCUCCCUGGAGUUAUGUUGAAGGCAGAGUUUUCAUAGUGUUAGAUUUUCUUUUUCCUUUUCUAGUUCAUUUAAUUCUUCCUAUUGAAUUGCACCAUUGUGAAAGAUGAGAAAAAUCAUGAUAAUGGGUAAGGGGAAAGCCUCCUGGAAGGUAAUGGGGCAAGGAAAAAGAAAGCCUAUGGGAAAUAGCUGUGCUCCUAACAUAGCUUUGCAGAUGAUAUGGGGUUUCUUUCGUUUUUGUUUUGAGACAGGGUCUUGUGGUCUCCCAAGCUAGGGUGCAGUAGCAUGAUCUCAGCUCACUGCAGCCUAGCCCUCCCAGACUUAAGUAGUCCUCACCUCAGCCUCCAGAGUAGCUGGGACUACAGGCAUGUGCCAUUAUGUCUGGCUGAUUUUUGUUUACUUUUUAUUGAGAUGGGGUCUUGCCAUGUUGGCCAAGAUGGUCUUGAAUGCCUGCACUCAAUCAGUCCUCCCAUCUUGGCCUCCCAAAAUGUUGGGACUACAGAUGUGAGCUACCACGCCUGGCCAGCUCCUGUAUUUUUUUUUUUUUGUGGUUUCGCAACUUUAGUUGAUUUUAAGGCCCUCCAUUUUAGAAAGCAGGAAAAGAGGAUUUUUUUUUUCUUGUUCCCCUGGAGGAUCCAGGGAUGAGGAUAGAGUGCUUGGAUUCAGCCUCCUCCUGGACGCAGACACCAAGAGGCUGGGUGGAGCAGGGAGCUGUGCCUUUCUGGGGUGCCCAGUGAUCUGUAGAGAAAAGCUGCUUGUUUACUCCUUAAGUCUGUAUUUGUGACUGUUGAUAUGUUGAACAAUUCAGGAAUCAAGGGCAGUGGAGAAACUCCCUCAGGUUGUUGGCAAACAGGUAAAUGAAGCUAGGACAGUGCCAUGAGAAUAAAGCUCUCUGUUAAAAAAAAAGAAGAGUAAGAACUAAAUAAAUGUGGUUUCUUUUUUGUGAUAAUGAUGUGAUACAUCACCCUUCAUUUCUACCUAAGGUUUGAAUCAUAUAAUUGAGAGGGGUUUUUAUAAGUUUGAUUCUUUUAAUAAAAAAAUAACAUUUACAUUCUAUUUGUAUU